This 492-nucleotide ribosomal RNA is filed under the name uncultured bacterium. RNAcentral describes it as "partial 16S ribosomal RNA". It matches the Rfam family "Bacterial small subunit ribosomal RNA", at positions 30 to 507 of the family's 1533-position model. The record is from RNAcentral.
AUUGAACGCUGGCGGCAUGCUUUACACAUGCAAGUCGAACGGUAACAGGCCUUCGGGUGCUGACGAGUGGCGAACGGGUGAGUAAUGCAUCGGAACGUGCCCAGAGGUGGGGGAUAACGCAGCGAAAGCUGUGCUAAUACCGCAUGUGAUCUGAGGAUGAAAGCGGGGGACCAGGCAGCAAUGUUUGGCCUCGCGCCUUUGGAGCGGCCGAUGUCAGAUUAGGUAGUUGGUGGGGUAAAGGCCUACCAAGCCGACGAUCUGUAGCUGGUCUGAGAGGACGACCAGCCACACUGGGACUGAGACACGGCCCAGCCUCCUACGGGAGGCAGCAGUGGGGAAUUUUGGACAAUGGGCGCAAGCCUGAUCCAGCAAUGCCGCGUGCGGGAAGAAGGCCUUCGGGUUGUAAACCGCUUUUGUACGGAACGAAAAGGCUCUGGCUAAUACCUGGGGCUGAUGACGGUACCGUAAGAAUAAGCACCGGCUAACUACGUG